Molecule: ribosomal RNA, 568 nt
Filed under: uncultured fungus
Lineage: Eukaryota; Fungi
Description: eukaryotic LSU rRNA
Rfam family: 5.8S ribosomal RNA (bases 208-361)
Source: RNAcentral
GUCGUACAGGUCUCCGUAGGUGAACCUGCGGAGGGAUCAUUACACAAAUAUGAAGGCGGGCUGGAACCUCUCGGGGUUACAGCCUUGCUGAAUUAUUCACCCUUGUCUUUUGCGUACUUCUUGUUUCCUUGGUGGGUUCGCCCACCACUAGGACAAACAUAAACCUUUUGUAAUUGCAAUUAGCGUCAGUAACAAAUUAAUAAUUACAACUUUCAACAACGGAUCUCUUGGUUCUGGCAUCGAUGAAGAACGCAGCGAAAUGCGAUAAGUAGUGUGAAUUGCAGAAUUCAGUGAAUCAUCGAAUCUUUGAACGCACAUUGCGCCCUUUGGUAUUCCAAAGGGCAUGCCUGUUCGAGCGUCAUUUGUACCCUCAAGCUUUGCUUGGUGUUGGGCGUCUUGUCUCUAGCUUUGCUGGAGACUCGCCUUAAAGUAAUUGGCAGCCGGCCUACUGGUUUCGGAGCGCAGCACAAGUCGCACUCUCUAUCAGCAAAGGUCUAGCAUCCAUUAAGCCUUUUUUCAACUUUUGACCUCGGAUCAGGUAGGGAUACCCGCUGAACUUAAGCAUAUC